This 492-nucleotide ribosomal RNA is filed under the name uncultured bacterium. Its description in RNAcentral is "partial 16S ribosomal RNA". It matches the Rfam family "Bacterial small subunit ribosomal RNA", at positions 29 to 507 of the family's 1533-position model. The record is from RNAcentral.
AGUGAACGCUGGCGGUAGGCCUAACACAUGCAAGUCGAACGGCAGCACAGUAAGAGCUUGCUCUUACGGGUGGCGAGUGGCGGACGGGUGAGGAAUACAUCGGAAUCUACUUUUUCGUGGGGGAUAACGUAGGGAAACUUACGCUAAUACCGCAUACGACCUACGGUUGAAAGCAGGGGAUCUUCGGACCUUGCGCGAUUGAAUGAGCCGAUGUCGGAUUUGCUAGUUGGCGGGGUAAAGGCCCACCAAGGCGACGAUCCGUAGCUGGUCUGAGAGGAUGAUCGGCCACACUGGAACUGGGAAACGGUCCAGACUCCUACGGGAGGCAGAAGUGGGGAAUAUUGGACAAUGGGCGCAAGCCUGAUCCAGCCAUACCGCGUGGGUGAAGAAGGCCUUCGGGUUGUAAAGCCCUUUUGUUGGGAAAGAAAAGCAGCAGGUUAAUACCCCGCUGUUCUGACGGUACCCAAAGAAUAAGCACCGGCUAACUUCGUG